Long non-coding RNA from Eriocheir sinensis (Chinese mitten crab), 2055 nucleotides. RefSeq lists it as uncharacterized. Lineage: Eukaryota; Metazoa; Arthropoda; Malacostraca; Decapoda; Varunidae. The record is from RefSeq and is a predicted model, not a curated record. The transcript is spliced from 7 exons.
CUCUCUCUCUCUCUCUCUCUCUCUCUCUCUCUCUCUCUCUCUCUCUCUCUCUCUCUCUCUCUCUCUCAGUUUCCCUUCACUUGUAUAUAUAUGUAAAUCCGUAAUCCAUAAGGCCCAGUGGAUGAUAGACGGAUUGGAUGAGUGGAUGAUGGGUGGAUGGGUGUGACUAUAGAUGUCACGAAUGAUGGGGCUAUGCGGGGUUAGGUCACCUUGUCCUAUCAUCAACUCCAUAGGCUACCCUAGACGCUACCUCACAUAACCUAGCAAAGAGGAUCUAAUGCUAAAUACUGACACUCAUAACAUAGCAAAGAGGUUCUGAUACUAAAUACUGACACUCAUAACAUAGCAAAGAGGUUCUAAUACUAAAUACUGACACUCAUAACAUAGCAAAGAGGUUCUAAUACUAAACACUGACACUCAUAACAUAGCAAAGAGGUUCUAAUACUAAAUACUGACACUCAUAACAUAGCAAAGAGGUUCUAAUACUAAACACUGACACUCAUAACAUAGCAAAGAGGUUCUAAUACUAAAUACUGACACUCAUAACAUAGCAAAGAGGUUCUAAUACUAAAUACUGACACUCAUAACAUAGCAAAGAGGUUCUGAUACUAAAUACUGACACUCAUAACAUAGCAAAGAGGUUCUAAUACUAAAUACUGACACUCAUAACAUAGCAAAGAGGUUCUAAUACUAAAUACUGACACUCAUAACAUAGCAAAGAGGUUCUAAUACUAAAUACUGACACUCAUAACAUAGCAAAGAGGUUCUAAUACUAAAUACUGACACUCAUAACAUAGCAAAGAGGUUCUGAUACUAAAUACUGACACUCAUAACAUAGCAAAGAGGUUCUAAUACUAAAUACUGACACUCAUAACCUAGCAAAUGGAUUAUACAUGAGCUAUAUAUUGCCUCUUUUAACACAGCAAACAGUUAACAUAGCAAACAUAUUCUUAAUACUAUAAAUACUGUCCUUUUUAACACAGCAAACAGUUAACAUAGCAAACAUAUUCUUAAUACUAUAAAUACUGUCCUUUUUAACACAGCAAACAGAUUAUAGAUGAGUUCAAUUCUGCCUCACUUAACCUAGCAGAUGGAUUAUACAUGAGCUAUAUAUUGCCUCUUUUAACACAGUAAACAGUUAACAUAGCAAACAUAUUCGUAAUAUUAUAAAUACCGUCCUUUUUAACACAGCAAAGAGUUCAUAAAUGCUCAAAAUAACACCACUUUUAAAAUAGCAGACAGAUAAGAGAGAAGUUAGAUUUUAAAUGCUCUAAAUACUCCUUUUUUUUAACCUAGCAAAGAGCUCAUAAAUGCUCUAAAUACUCCCUUUUUUAACCUAGCAAAGAGUUCAUAAAUGCUCAAAAUACCACCACAUUUAAAAUAGCAACACCUAGGUAAAUACACACACACACACACACACACACACACACACACUAAAUACUCCCUUUUUUAACCUAGCAAAGGGUUCAUAAAUGCUCAAAAUACCACCACAUUUAAAAUAGCAACACCUAGGUAAAUACACACACACACACACACACACACACACACACUAAAUACUCCCUUUUUUAACCUAGCAAAGAGUUUAUAAAUGUUCAAAAUACCACCACAUUUAAAAUAGCAACACCUAGGUAAACACACACAGACACACACACACAAAAUACUCCUUUUUUUAACAUAGCAAUUCAAAAUACCACCACUUUUAACAUAGCAACAACUAGGUAAACACACACACACACACACACACACACACACACACACAAGUCUCCCAGCACAUCGUCCAAGCAAGGGGGACAUUCUACAAUCUAUUCCUUCUAUUGUUUCCUCCCAUGUCGCUUCAUACGCCCUAACCCACAGUAUAAAAACAGGCUUACCGCUGCUGUUGGGCUUCGUGUAGUGAGGUGGAGGUGGCGGCCAGCUGGUACUUAACGAGGCACUUACAUACUUAUAAGCGAUCUCUGUUUACUUACAUGGUGGUACGCUGGUGCUAGAUCUAAUGUGUUUGUCUCCUUAUGUAGAGGCUGUACUUAUAUUGUGUGUGUGUGCGUGUGUGUGUAU